UGCUCCUGCAUGCGGCGUAUAACAUGGAAUGUUUCUCCAAAGUGAUCGUGCUCUACCAAAUUCUGGCACUGCAAUGGUUCAGUCCUAAGCGGCAACGAACCUUCGACUGUGAAUCGCUGUUUUUCAUUACGCUAAACUUUUGCAUUAUUACGGGGCUCUUCUGUUGGAUCUAUCAGCACCAAUCGUUGGUGAUUUAUUCCGACAACGCGCUAGGAUAUGUGGUAGAUUUUUUCAAAUUUCUGCUCAUGGUUUUCACCUACUAUUCACUUUUGCUCGAGAGUGGCUACCAGCGCGGCGUGCUGUAUAAAGUUUGGGACGAGCUGGAACGACUGCACAACAUUUUCCCGAGCGCGAAGUGGGCUCUACUGCCCCAGGCACACCUGCGUACGGUUGCACUGUUUGUCGUGUAUAUGUCCUGGUGGGAGCUUACGUAUGCGUACUGGAUAACAAAGUCAGCUCGCAGUUCCAACUUUACCAUCUUGUUCUGGGUGCUGUUUCUGUUGCUACAUCUGCGACAGCUACAAAUCCUGCUCUAUACCAAUGUGUUGGGCUUUUGUCUGAAGGCAAUAAACAGUGAGCUAGCAUGGACGAUCGAGCUAAGCAAUGGUGCCAGCCGGUACGGGGGUCGUCGAAGUGAUGGACAAAUUUGUGGCUAUCUGCGCAAGCUAAUGGAAGGAUUUGCACGAGUCGAGCGGUUGCUCGAGUUACUUAACCAAGCGUUCGGCUACUCAUUGGCCAUUAUAAAGCUGAUCAAUAACAUCUACAUACUAACGGACACGUACUGGAUUGUUCAUGGGUUUAUGAGCGGCAAAGUGUUUGGCUCAUUGUAUUUGGAGUGUUGUCUGUCGUCGAAAUUCAUCUGUUUGAUAAUCAAUCUCCACUCCAACGAGCGCAUCUUGUCGGAGUUUCAUCGUACGCGGGUGCUACUACACUGCGUUCACCUUCGGUGGCAGUUACGGUGCGAUCAGGGCUGGCAGAUGGUACAACACUUUCUGCUAAAACUAGAAUCCACUCAACCGUUUGCGAUGACGCCAUUAAGUAUGUACCGGUUGAACUAUGGCACUUUAAUGCAGAUAGCUUUCAACAUCACUACAUCGAUUUCACUCUUCAUUCAGGCGUCGCAGUAGCUGUACUAUUAGCAAGAGUCGAGUUGCUUGCAGUGGUUGCGUCUGUUGGCGUAUCCUCCUUGGGCAUGAAUUGUAUGAAAAUUACCAUCAAGGACGUCUACUAAACCUCCUUCAGCAGCACAAAAUCCAUAUCGAAGAAACCACCGAGUGAAAAGGACAUUGGAGUGUGUUGAAGCAGGAGCGAAAAGUUUUCUAACUGCAAAAAAUAAUAUGAGUCAAUCAGAAAGAAAACACAAAUGAAAAUAAAUAAAAAAAAGCACAAAUGGAGCCCCUUGUCAGAAAUGCACCAUCAGUAAGCCUCGUCUAAGUCAUACGUUAUGUAUUCUUCAUUCGUCAUUUUUUGUAGCGAAGCUACUCCUUUUGCUCUCUUACUUAUUUAUUGACUGAUUAGAUCUGAAAGCACACAGCACACGCUCCAUCAUAUUGCAACGUGACACCGUGUCACCGUAACAAUGACCGACACAAGGGCGUACGGGACCGAAUACGAACCAUUUUCGCGAGCAAAUCUGCCUCAUCACCGUGCAGCCGUUUGUACAGCAACUGUCCCA
Molecule: RNA transcript, 1675 nt
Organism: Anopheles arabiensis
Lineage: Eukaryota; Metazoa; Arthropoda; Insecta; Diptera; Culicidae
Exons: 4
Source: RefSeq, a predicted model, not a curated record